GCCAAAAACCUAGCCUAUAUAUUUUACGCCAUAAAACAUUUUUACUUUUUAGUAGAGGUGAUCGAAAAAUACCUAAGCGCUUAAGAAACAGUACCGCAAGGGAAAAGUGAAAUAAAAAUGAAAUAAAUCUAAAGCCCCCAAUAGCAGAGACAACUACUCGUACCUUUUGCA
Molecule: ribosomal RNA, 171 nt
Filed under: Nasutixalus jerdonii (Jerdon's tree frog)
Lineage: Eukaryota; Metazoa; Chordata; Amphibia; Anura; Rhacophoridae
Description: partial 16S ribosomal RNA
Source: RNAcentral